Molecule: RNA transcript, 2513 nt
Organism: Rhinolophus ferrumequinum (greater horseshoe bat)
Lineage: Eukaryota; Metazoa; Chordata; Mammalia; Chiroptera; Rhinolophidae
Gene: FBXO36
Gene name: F-box protein 36
Exons: 5
Source: RefSeq, a predicted model, not a curated record
AACUAAUUCCCCUUCGGGUCACCAGGGACCUGAGGUGGGAAUUUCACGGAUCAGGGUUCCCUGUGACCCUUGGAAAAGGGCAGAAUCACCCCAAGUCAGAAACCCCCUAUCAGCUCAAAAGCGGGGUUCGAUUUAAACUAGGGCUGUGGCCCCAUGACCUCAAUCAAGCCCCGCCCCUUCCUGGUUGUCUUAGCGACGGCGGUGGCGUCCCAAGAUGGCGUCGUUGUUGCCGGAGACUCUGUUCGAAAUUGUAGGAGAAGGCCCGGCGCCGAGCAAAGACUAUUACCAGUUAUUGGUCACCCGAUCCCAGGUCAUCUUUAGAUGGUGGAAGAUCUCUCUGAGGAGUGAGUAUCGAUCAGCAAAACCUGGAGAAACAAAAGAAUCUCACGAGAACUUCCUAGAGAAUUCACAUCUUCAAGUUCAAAUUGCCUUAAUAUUUGGUGCAAGAAUAUUAGACUAUGUCUUCCAUUUGUGCGAAGGUAAAUUUGACUUCCUUGAGCGGCUCUCAGACAAUUUACUCCUGAAUAUCAUUUCUUAUCUGGAUCUUGAAGAUAUUGCCAGUCUUUCUCAAACAUCACGCAGAUUUUCCAAGCUGUGCAUCUCUGACAAACUGUGGGAGCCGAUAGUUCAGUCCGCCUGUGACAACAUCACCCCUGAGAUGAGGGCCUUGGCCGAGGAUAUGGGCUGGAGACAGAUGUUCUUCGCCAACAAGUUGCAGCUCCAGAGGCAACUCCGCAAGAGGAAAGAAAGCCAAGAAAGCGAGAGAGACAGUCAAGUUUAGGGAAUGUUUUCUACCUGCAGAGGCAUGGAGGCAUGGCUGUGUGUUUUUUCUUUGUCCAAAUGUCUUCUGUUUCCUUUGACUAAGAAUGAAGAGGUUUUGCUGAUUCAAGGAGCAUCGGAAAAUCAUAGAAUAUUUGCACACAAAUGCAGCAAAUCCAAUUCUGCAGUCGCAGUCCUGUCGUGGUGACAAGGGCUGCAGGACGGGAAGCCCCACCCACCAUCCACGUCUUCACCACCCCUGACACCCAUAUGAGGCUUCUGCUGUGUAGAAACAAACAAUAAAUGAUUUUUAGCAGGUUUUUAUUACAUAUCUAUUUUAUCUCGGCGUCGGAAAAGGGAGCCAGGCUUUUGAAUUUUUUCCUGCUGUGUGUCAUCGGACUCCAUUCAUGGAGCAGGUGGCCUGUGUCUCCCCAGGGAACUGUGAAGGGCAUUGGCAUGGGAGGCAGUCUGCUUCCACUUGGAACUCCAGUGAUACAGCAGAUCUCCUGAAUGGUGCAGGAGAGGUGGGCCCUGGCUGUCCUCCCCACCGAAUUUCUUCUGGAAUGGUGCCAUAGCCAUAGCUUACUGACAGGUUUUUUUUUUCCCCCUCUUUUACUAGACCUGCGUUAUAUCACGCCAGAUUUUAACCCACAUCCACACACCCUUAAUACUCGGUAGUGGAUUUGCAGGGACAUCUGUAAAGUCAAAUGCAGUCUGCUUCCUUGCAAGUGACAAGCCUGUCAAAGUUAGUCCAAAUACAGAGCAAAAAUUUAAUUGGCCAGAGACCCCCGGCCUCAUUUCCUGCCCGGGAGCCAUUCUGCCAGGGUGAUUGGCAGGCUGGUGGAGGGCACGUGCUUCUGCAGGGCUCCUGCAGUGUGUCUGCCAGAACUUCCAGACUUCAUUCCCAUCUACGUUUUCAGUGACACACAGGUUAACACCCCGUGUGUGCAACAAUUAUGUGUAUGUACAAUUUGGUAUGGCAACAGAACUGUGUCAACGUAAAAUUUCAACUCAUUUGUAACAUCGAUGCAAAAUGUCAACAGCUUAAAAAUGUUAUGUGUGGUGUUUUAUCAACUAAGACACUCUGAAAGCGUAUGGGCAUGCAUAAUCUUCUUGAUUCAACAGGAAUCAGUAGGAACACAAAUAUGCCAUCUGAAAACUCUGAUUAUCCAUAUAAAAUGGUAUAAUAUUAAAAUGGAUGCUAAAGGUAAAUAACAGUUGAAAAUGAUUUAUUAAUAUAUUGACUAUUGUUAAAUAAGUUAAAAUAACAUAGGGUAUCAGACUAUUUCAAUAAUUAUUUGUCCUAAUAAUUUGGAUGUUUUAUUACCUGAUUAUAAUUAAUUUUGCCAAAACUGAACAGUAUCAUCAACCUAAAAUUGUUGACUAUGGCACCAGCAUCGUCAGUGGUCGAAACAUUUAGCCCCUCUCUUCCCUGCCUCAUUUCCUGUGUUAGUAGGUCCACAGAAUGAUCCAUCAGAUGGAAAUAGUAUAGCACUGGUUCGCCUCUGUGCCCCUUUCCUACAGCUUUCAUACAGACCGAUAAGUCUGCUUUGUUUAUGGCAUACCAUUUCGGAGUGAAAGGCAUUUUAUAAUCUUGUCCUUUCUCAUCUCUUCAGUCAAAAGUGUUCCUAUUCUGUUGUCGUUCACCAUUGUAAUUGUAAAAGUAAAAUACUGAAAUUUUCUGAUGAUUUAUAUGUUUUCAACUUAGAAAAAUUUGUUAACAACAGCAAAUGUGAAUAUUUAAUUUAUAAGCU